This 460-nucleotide ribosomal RNA is filed under the name uncultured bacterium. RNAcentral describes it as "partial 16S ribosomal RNA". It matches the Rfam family "Bacterial small subunit ribosomal RNA", at positions 338 to 795 of the family's 1533-position model. The record is from RNAcentral.
CCUACGGGUGGCAGCAGUGAGGAAUAUUGGUCAAUGGGCGCAAGCCUGAACCAGCCAAGUCGCGUGAGGGAAGACGGCCCUACGGGUUGUAAACCUCUUUUGCCGGGGAGCAAGCCUGAGCACGUGUGCCCAGGCGGAGAGUACCCGGAGGAAAAGCAUCGGCUAACUCCGUGCCAGCAGCCGCGGUAAUACGGAGGAUGCGAGCGUUAUCCGGAUUUAUUGGGUGUAAAGGGUGGGCAGGCGGGCUGUUAAGUCGGCGGUAAAAAUUCAGUGCUAAACCCUGUCGAGCCGUCGGAACGGGCAGCCUUGAGUGUGCGAGAAGUAUGCGGAAUGCGUGGUGUAGCGGUGAAAUGCAUAGAUAGCACGCAGAACGCCGAUUGCGAAGGCAGCAUACCGGCGCCCGACUGACGCUGAGGCACGAAAGCGUGGGGAGCGAACAGGAUUAGAUACCCUUGUAGUC